This is a long non-coding RNA of Micropterus salmoides (largemouth bass), 288 nucleotides long. RefSeq lists it as uncharacterized. NCBI's taxonomy places the organism in Eukaryota, Metazoa, Chordata, Actinopteri, Centrarchiformes, Centrarchidae. The record is from RefSeq and is a predicted model, not a curated record. The transcript is spliced from 4 exons.
CACAACUGACAACGUUUCAUUUUGAAGUGCCUCAGCAAGCUUUAUUUUGUGUGAUUAAUUCUGUUUUUUCACAGGCUUACAAAGGUUGAUAUACAAAGAGUUUUGGACCCUGAUUUGAGUGCAUGUUCAUGGAGCAGUAAAACUCUCAGCUGGAAACCUGAAUAAUCAGGUAAUAAAACCCAGGACUGAACCCCCAGAAGAUCUGGCUUCUUCUGGCAUAAACAGCCUCCUGUACUCGACGAUCUCCAUCUCCAGCCUGGUCUUGAUGUGCAACAGCAUCUGGUACUC